Molecule: ribosomal RNA, 492 nt
Filed under: uncultured bacterium
Lineage: Bacteria
Description: partial 16S ribosomal RNA
Rfam family: Bacterial small subunit ribosomal RNA
Source: RNAcentral
AGUGAACGCUGGCGGUAGGCCUAACACAUGCAAGUCGAACGGCAGCACAGUAAGAGCUUGCUCUUACGGGUGGCGAGUGGCGGAAGGGUGAGGAAUACAUCGGAAUCUACUUUUUCGUGGGGGAUAACGUAGGGAAACUUACGCUAAUACCGCAUACGACCUUCGGGUGAAAGCAGGGGAUCUUCGGACCUUGCGCGAUUGAAUGAGCCGAUGUCGGAUUAGCUAGUUGGCGGGGUAAAGGCCCACCAAGGCGACGAUCCGUAGCUGGUCUGAGAGGAUGAUCAGCCACACUGGAACUGAGACACGGUCCAGACUCCUACGGGAGGCAGCAGUGGGGAAUAUUGGACAAUGGGCGCAAGCCUGAUCCAGCCAUACCGCGUGGGUGAAGAGGGCCUUCGGGUUGUAAAGCCCUUUUGUUGGGAAAGAAAAGCAGCAGGUUAAUACCCCGCUGUUCUGACGGUACCCAAAGAAUAAGCACCGGCUAACUUCGUG